UACAGAGGGGGCAAGCGUUGUUCGGAAUUACUGGGCGUAAAGGGCGCGUAGGCGGCCCGCUAAGUCGAACGUGAAAUCCCCGGGCUUAACCCGGGAACUGCGUCCGAUACUGGCAGGCUUGAAUCCGGGAGAGGGAUGUGGAAUUCCAGGUGUAGCGGUGAAAUGCGUAGAUAUCUGGAGGAACACCGGUGGCGAAGGCGGCAUCCUGGACCGGUAUUGACGCUGAGGCGCGAAAGCGUGGGUAGCAAACAGG
RNAcentral lists this ribosomal RNA (253 nucleotides) under uncultured bacterium. RNAcentral's name for it is "partial 16S ribosomal RNA". It matches the Rfam family "Bacterial small subunit ribosomal RNA", at positions 524 to 776 of the family's 1533-position model. The record is from RNAcentral.